GGCUGGUCCAAUGGUAGUGGGUUAUCAGAACUUAUUAACAUUAGUGUCACUAAAGUUGGUAUACAACCCCCCACUGUUGAAUUUGACUGGCAAAA
This 95-nucleotide Y RNA is filed under the name Saimiri boliviensis boliviensis (Bolivian squirrel monkey). RNAcentral's name for it is "Y RNA (ENSSBOG00000004503.1)". It matches the Rfam family "Y RNA". Rfam says of the family: Y RNAs are components of the Ro ribonucleoprotein particle (Ro RNP), in association with Ro60 and La proteins. The Y RNAs and Ro60 and La proteins are well conserved, but the function of the Ro RNP is not known. The record is from Rfam by way of RNAcentral. Lineage: Eukaryota; Metazoa; Chordata; Mammalia; Primates; Cebidae.